AAAAAAGGUAAGCUACUAAGAGCGAAUGGUGGAUGCCUUGACUGGUAAAGGCGAUGAAGGACGUACUAGACUGCGAUAAGCUACGGGGAGCUGUCAAGAAGCUUUGAUCCGUAGAUUUCCGAAUGGGGCAACCCAAUGUAUAGAGAUAUACAUUACCUAUAUAGGAGCGAACGAGGGGAAUUGAAACAUCUUAGUACCCUCAGGAAAAGAAAUCAAUAGAGAUUGCGUCAGUAGCGGCGAGCGAAAGCGCAAGAGGGCAAACCCAGUGCUUGCACUGGGGGUUGUAGGACUGCAAUGUGCAAGAGGUGAGUUUAGCAGAACAUUCUGGAAAGUAUAGCCAUAGAGGGUGAUAGUCCCGUAUGCGAAAAACAAACCUUAGCUAGCAGUAUCCUGAGUAGGGCGGGACACGAGAAAUCCUGUCUGAAGCUGGGUCGACCACGAUCCAACCCUAAAUACUAAUACCAGAUCGAUAGUGCACAAGUACCGUGAGGGAAAGGUGAAAAGAACUGAGGUGAUCAGAGUGAAAUAGAACCUGAAACCAUUUGCUUACAAUCAUUCAGAGCCCUAUGUAGCAAUACAGGGUGAUGGACUGCCUUUUGCAUAAUGAGCCUGCGAGUUGUGGUGUCUGGCAAGGUUAAGCAAACGCGAAGCCGUAGCGAAAGCGAGUCUGAAUAGGGCGCUUAGUCAGAUGCUGCAGACCCGAAACGAAGUGAUCUAUCCAUGAGCAAGUUGAAGCUAGUGUAAGAACUAGUGGAGGACUGAACCCAUAGGCGUUGAAAAGCCCCGGGAUGACUUGUGGAUAGGGGUGAAAGGCCAAUCAAACUUCGUGAUAGCUGGUUCUCUCCGAAAUAUAUUUAGGUAUAGCGUUGUGUCGUAAUAUAAGGGGGUAGAGCACUGAAUGGGCUAGGGCAUACACCAAUGUACCAAACCCUAUCAAACUCCGAAUACCUUAUAUGUAAUCACAGCAGUCAGGCGGCGAGUGAUAAAAUCCGUCGUCAAGAGGGAAACAACCCAGACUACCAGCUAAGGUCCCUAAAUCUUACUUAAGUGGAAAACGAUGUGAAGUUACUUAAACAACCAGGAGGUUGGCUUAGAAGCAGCCAUCCUUUAAAGAAAGCGUAAUAGCUCACUGGUCUAGUGAUUUUGCGCGGAAAAUAUAACGGGGCUAAAGUAAGUACCGAAGCUGUAGACUUGAUUUUAUCAAGUGGUAGGAGAGCGUUCUAUUUGCGCCGAAGGUAUACCGGUAAGGAGUGCUGGAGCGAAUAGAAGUGAGCAUGCAGGCAUGAGUAGCGAUAAUUAAUGUGAGAAUCAUUAACGCCGUAAACCCAAGGUUUCCUACGCGAUGCUCGUCAUCGUAGGGUUAGUCGGGUCCUAAGUCGAGUCCGAAAGGGGUAGACGAUGGCAAAUUGGUUAAUAUUCCAAUACCAACAUUAGUGUGCGAUGGAAGGACGCUUAGGGCUAAGGGGGCUAGCGGAUGGAAGUGCUAGUCUAAGGUCGUAGGAGGUUAUACAGGCAAAUCCGUAUAACAAUACUCCGAGAACUGAAAGGCUUUUUGAAGUCUUCGGAUGGAUAGAAGAACCCCUGAUGCCAUCGAGCCAAGAAAAGUUUCUAAGUUUAGCUAAUGUUGCCCGUACCGUAAACCGACACAGGUGGGUGGGAUGAGUAUUCUAAGGCGCGUGGAAGAACUCUCUUUAAGGAACUCUGCAAAAUAGCACCGUAUCUUCGGUAUAAGGUGUGGUUCGCUUCGUAUUAGGAUUUACUCCGAAAGCGAAGAAACUUACAACAAAGAGUCCCUCCCGACUGUUUACCAAAAACACAGCACUCUGCUAACUCGUAAGAGGAUGUAUAGGGUGUGACGCCUGCCCGGUGCUCGAAGGUUAAUUGAUGGGGUUAGCAUUAGCGAAGCUCUUGAUCGAAGCCCGAGUAAACGGCGGCCGUAACUAUAACGGUCCUAAGGUAGCGAAAUUCCUUGUCGGUUAAAUACCGACCUGCAUGAAUGGCGUAACGAGAUGGGAGCUGUCUCAAAGAGGGAUCCAGUGAAAUUGUAGUGGAGGUGAAAAUUCCUCCUACCCGCGGCAAGACGGAGAGACCCCGUGGACCUUUACUACAGCUUGACACUGCUAUUUGGAUAAGAAUGUGCAGGAUAGGUGGGAGGCUUUGAGUAUAUGACGCCAGUUGUAUAUGAGCCAUUGUUGAGAUACCACUCUUUCUUAUUUGGGUAGCUAACCAGCUUGAGUUAUCCUCAAGUGGGACAAUGUCUGGUGGGUAGUUUGACUGGGGCGGUCGCCUCCCAAAUAAUAACGGAGGCUUACAAAGGUUGGCUCAGAACGGUUGGAAAUCGUUCGUAGAGUAUAAAGGUAUAAGCCAGCUUAACUGCAAGACAUACAAGUCAAGCAGAGACGAAAGUCGGUCUUAGUGAUCCGGUGGUUCUGUGUGGAAGGGCCAUCGCUCAAAGGAUAAAAGGUACCCCGGGGAUAACAGGCUGAUCUCCCCCAAGAGCUCACAUCGACGGGGAGGUUUGGCACCUCGAUGUCGGCUCAUCGCAUCCUGGGGCUGGAGCAGGUCCCAAGGGUAUGGCUGUUCGCCAUUUAAAGCGGUACGCGAGCUGGGUUCAGAACGUCGUGAGACAGUUCGGUCCCUAUCUGCCGUGGGCGUAAGAAGAUUGAAGAGAUUUGACCCUAGUACGAGAGGACCGGGUUGAACAAACCACUGGUGUAGCUGUUGUUCUGCCAAGAGCAUCGCAGCGUAGCUAAGUUUGGAAAGGAUAAACGCUGAAAGCAUCUAAGCGUGAAGCCAACUCUAAGAUGAAUCUUCUCUAAGCUCUCUAGAAGACUACUAGUUUGAUAGGCUGGGUGUGUAAUGGAUGAAAGUCCUUUAGCUGACCAGUACUAAUAGAGCGUUUGGCUUAUCUUUAAUAAAGCAU
This 2923-nucleotide ribosomal RNA is filed under the name Campylobacter coli. RNAcentral's name for it is "23S ribosomal RNA". It matches the Rfam family "Bacterial large subunit ribosomal RNA". The record is from RNAcentral. Lineage: Bacteria; Pseudomonadati; Campylobacterota; Epsilonproteobacteria; Campylobacterales; Campylobacteraceae.